GAUGUUCUAGAUCUGUCAGCACCAUAGGCAGAGCACAGCUGCACAGCUGAGCCUGUAGCAUCAGGACAAAGAGCAAUGGCUAUUUCUGCACUCAUUAUUCAGAAAUGAGUGAGCACUAGAGUGGUUUAGAACCUGACAUUU
Molecule: small nucleolar RNA, 141 nt
Organism: Psammomys obesus (fat sand rat)
Lineage: Eukaryota; Metazoa; Chordata; Mammalia; Rodentia; Muridae
Product: small nucleolar RNA SNORA43
Exons: 1
Source: RefSeq, a predicted model, not a curated record